Molecule: ribosomal RNA, 249 nt
Filed under: uncultured bacterium
Lineage: Bacteria
Description: partial 16S ribosomal RNA
Rfam family: Bacterial small subunit ribosomal RNA
Source: RNAcentral
GAUCAUGGCUCAGGACGAACGCUGGCGGCGCGCCUAACACAUGCAAGUCGAACGGAGUCAAGAGGAGCUUGCUUUUCUUGACUUAGUGGCGAACGGGUGAGUAACGCGUGAGUAACCUGCCCUGGAGUGGGGGACAACAGUUGGAAACGACUGCUAAUACCGCAUAAGCCCACGGCCCGACAUCGGGCUGCGGGAAAAGGAUUUAUUCGCUUCAGGAUGGACUCGCGUCCAAUUAGCUAGUUGGUGAGG